Molecule: non-coding RNA, 808 nt
Organism: Myotis daubentonii (Daubenton's bat)
Lineage: Eukaryota; Metazoa; Chordata; Mammalia; Chiroptera; Vespertilionidae
Source: the annotation of a RefSeq genome assembly
AGAUGCUGGGCCUGGGACAGCAGAGGGAGGCAGCUGUUGGCACAAGGAUGACGGCAGAGAAAUAUCCUUGAGACAUCAUGCCCACCCACUCAAACUGUCUCUAGAAAUCCCAAAUUCCUUUGAAAGGAGUUAAAACUUUUUUGAAAGGAGCAAGUGUAGGAGGUGAAAAAGGAAGAGAGCUCAUGUGAGGAGAGCUAGAGAACUGGGAAAUCAUUCUAGACUGUGACGUUACAGCAACACACCUGUCAGGACUUGGAGCACUGUAGCCUGGUCUUGUUACCACUGGAGAGCAGAAUCCUGGGCUAGGGCCUUGACUGUUUUCCCCGAAUCCACCAUGGGCUCCAGGCUCCUGUGCUGUGUGGCCCUCUGCUUCCUGGGAGCAGGUUCCCUGGACACAGCAGUUUUCCAGACUCCAAAAUACCUCAUCACGUGGGUGGGAAAUCAGAAGUCCCUAAGUUGUGAACAAAAGCUGAACCAUGAUGCUAUGUACUGGUAUAAGCAGGACUCCAAGCAAUUGCUGAAGAUUAUGUUUUCCUACAAUAAUAAGGCGCUCAUUCUAAAUGAGACAGUUCCAAGUCGUUUCUUACCUGAAUCUCCGGACAAAGCUCAUUUGAAACUUCAUAUCAAUUCGUUGGAGACGGGUGACUCUGCUGUGUAUCUCUGUGCUAGCAGCCAAGACACAGCCCUGCAAAGUCACUGCCUCCCUGUGCACAAACCUGUGGGCCCAGCCAGGAAGCUGUGGGAACAACAUGUUCACCCAACACACCCUGCUGUGGGACCCCUGACUGGAGUUUCAUCUGUAGUAUAG